This 253-nucleotide ribosomal RNA is filed under the name uncultured bacterium. RNAcentral's name for it is "partial 16S ribosomal RNA". It matches the Rfam family "Bacterial small subunit ribosomal RNA", at positions 524 to 776 of the family's 1533-position model. The record is from RNAcentral.
UACGUAGGGUGCGAGCGUUGUCCGGAAUUAUUGGGCGUAAAGAGCUUGUAGGCGGUUUGUCGCGUCUGCUGUGAAAUCUCAAGGCUCAACCUUGGGCUUGCAGUGGGUACGGGCAGACUAGAGUGUGGUAGGGGAGACUGGAAUUCCUGGUGUAGCGGUGAAAUGCGCAGAUAUCAGGAGGAACACCGAUGGCGAAGGCAGGUCUCUGGGCCACUACUGACGCUGAGAAGCGAAAGCAUGGGGAGCGAACAGG